AAAGAAGAGAUGGAUGCUGCAGUGAUGCAGACAAGAGCAAGUAGCAAAGUGAAAAGGAAGGAAGGAAUGGGCCAAAAAUAAGGAAAGACAGGUCCCAAGCAAAUCUAAAACCCAGCAGGGCAGAGUGUCCAGAAUUAUCACUGGUACAGGAGCAUAUUUAUGUUAAUUUCUUAUUUUGGAUAUUCCUGAACAUUGAAGAUUUUGAAGCUAGUACAAAUUUGAACCACACACUUGUUCAUGAAACAGGCUCAGAGUACAAAUUCUUCAGGAACUCAAGCAGAGACAGGCUAUGAAAUGAUGAUGGCCAACCAUGGAUAGAAGCCAGUGGGGCUUUCUACUCUGCUUAAACUGUUCCCAUUCCAAUGUGCAAAACACUGCCCAAGAGUUUCCUUGUGGGAGACUGACAGACAGAAAAGAAGAAUGCAUUGUGUUCUCAGAGAACCCCAGAUAGGAAAAGAUUGGAGCUGCUGAGCUGAGAGCACUGAGAACUGAGAGUACUCAAUCUCUUAUGUCCUUUUGGAGGUACAGCAUGGGAGAAAUGGGGUCACCUGGUAGUAGGACUCCAGUUGCUCCCAUUGCG
This 580-nucleotide long non-coding RNA is filed under the name Pongo abelii (Sumatran orangutan). Its description in RNAcentral is "lincRNA". Lineage: Eukaryota; Metazoa; Chordata; Mammalia; Primates; Hominidae. The record is from RNAcentral.